Molecule: long non-coding RNA, 6952 nt
Filed under: Sus scrofa (pig)
Lineage: Eukaryota; Metazoa; Chordata; Mammalia; Artiodactyla; Suidae
Description: lncRNA (ENSSSCG00055027987.1)
Source: RNAcentral
AUAUCUCAGUGUGCAUUUCUCUGAGUUCGUCUUAUUUAGAAUCCAUUAGGAUCCCUGAAUCUGGAUGGCUGUUUACUUCCCCAGAUUUGGGAAGUUUUCAGUCAGUAUUUCUUUGAAUAAACAUUCUGCCCCCUUCUCUCUUUUCUUCUGAGAGUCCCAUAAUACUAUAUUGGUCCACUUGAUGAAAUCCCACAAGUCUCUUAAGCUUUCUUCACUCUCUCACUUUUUUUUUUCCUCUCCUCUGACUAGGUAAUUUCCAAUGAGCUGUCUUCAAUACUGCUGAUUCUUUUUACUGCUUCAUCUAAUCUGCUACUGCCAAAACCCUCUAGUAUAUAUCUUUUUUCUUUUUUGUCUUUUUAGAGCCGCAUGUGCACCAUAUGGAAGUUCAUAGGCUAGGGUCAAAUUGGAGCUGCAGCUGAUGGCCUACAUCACAGCUCAUGGCAAUGCCUCAUCCUUAACUCACUGAGUGGGGUCAGAGAUUGAACCCAUGUCCUCAUGGAUAUUAGUUGGGUUCAUUACUACUGUGCCACAAUGUGAACUCCUCUAGAGUAUUUUUCAUUUCAAUUACUGUACACUUCAGCUCCUUAAUUUCUAGCUGAAAAAAGAAACAAUUAAAACCUUUAUUAAAAGCCUCAUUUUGUUCACACAUUGUUCUCUUAACCUCACCGAGCAUCUUUAUGACUGCUAUUUUAAAUUCCCUGUCAAAUAAAUUAUAUAUCUCCAUUUCAUUGGGGUCAGUUUCAGAUUUAUCUUGUACCUUUCUUUGGGGCUGAUUUCCCUGUUUCUUCAUUUUUCUUGACUCUGUGCACUGGGCAAAAUUACCACCUCUCCCAAUAUUCAUUGACCUAGCUUAUAAAAAAGAAGACCCUCACCAAUCAGCCUGUUCAGAGAUUACAGAGGUCUCUCACACUAUCGUGCUAGCCAAACCACCAUCUUUGUUCUUAGUGGCCCCCCCCAAAUGUCUAGAAUAUGCUGGGUCCUAUUUAUGCCCUAAGACAGAAGCCAGUCCUUUGGGCAGCCCUUAGGAAAUCUGGAACACUGGCUACAAAGUCCAACUCUACUACCACCACCUCCCUGCCCACUGCCCCAGUAGAAGCUGGAAUCUGAGGUUUUUUGAACAGCUCACUCUGCACUGGGCUGGGAGAAGGGACUGUGCUGAGUGCUAGUCCAAACUGCCACCUUUGUUCUCAAAACUCCCAGGUGUUCCAUAAACCCUUUGAGAAUGCUAAAAAGGAAGACAGUGGCUUGGGCCAUGCCCAGAAAAAAAAAAUCACAACAUCAGACAUACAUGUGAUCCAAUUCUUUCCUCCCCUUCCCAGAGAGAAGUUGGAAGCUGGGGGUUUCCUCCCAAUCAUACAGCACUUUGCCAAGGGUAGUGAUUAUGGCAAAAGGGUAUCUUGAAUUUUCCUACCAGCUCUGAUGUGGCUGAUUUCACACAUCUGGGGUGCAAGCCUCUCAACUAGUUUCUAAAUUUCUCACCAAGAAAACUGUUCUGUGUAUGGCUGACUUGGUGAGUCUGUUGAAGAAAGGAGGGUCCAGGGCUUGCUAUUCCACCAUCUUGCCAACAUCAUGCUUUUUCAAUACAUUCUUUAGAUGGUGUAUUUGAUAAAAGCCAGUGUAUAAAAUUAACUGCCUCCCAUCUUUCAUUCUUAACCUAAACCACUAAAUGUAAAUUUCAAGAAGGAUUUUUAAAUUUAGCAUAUUUUAUUAUUUACGUAUACUGACUGUUCUAUAUAGUGAUCCACCAAUGAUCUACAUGUCCAGGGAUAACAAAGAGAAAUUUAAUUUUUUUUUCUUUUUACAGCUGCACCUGUGGCAUAUGGAAGUUCCUAGCCUAGGGGUUGAAUUGGAGCUGCAGCUGCCGGCAUACACCACAGCCACAGCAACACCAGAUCCAAAGCGCAUCUGCUACCUACACUACAGCCUACUUCAAUGCCAGAUCAUUAACCCACUGAGCAAGGCCAGAGAUGGAAUUGACAUCCUCAUGGAGACUACACUGGGUUCUUAACCCACUACGCCAUAACAGAACUCCAGUAAUUUAAUUUUUAAACAUCUUAAUUGUCAUUCUCACUCAACCAAAAUAACACAACAAAGUAGUUUCACCUGUUUCUGCUAACAAAAUCUAUUUUCCCCUACGAAGAGCCUAACAGAUUACCCAGAAGACACACAAAGUCAGAAGAAGUUUAAACUAUUAAUAGUAGUAUAAAGAGAGCCAUAGAGGGUGGGAAGCCAUCUCCUGACUUCCUUUCCCAUGUUUCCAUUAUGUUCCUUAAUUGUUAUUCACAUCCUUCUUGCCUAUUUUAGCAAGAACCAUUCCUAUAUAUGGCUUAAAAUAAAGAUGAUCGAACUUCCCUUUUACAGUACUUUUUAAGUACGUGCAACUAAAAAGUCAUGGGAAAAUCUAAUAGAGAGGGAGGGAAGAGAAUCACUUUUUCCACUGGUAUAGAGUAAAUCUAAUUUCAAAGCUAUUUUUCCACAAUCAACUAGACAGAAGCUCCACUCCAUAGGUUCUGUGACCUAUUUACAGUUCACUUGUCACUGAGGAGCUUCAGAAUAAAAACGGUCUACUGAGUUGUUAUUCUCUUGAGUUUGUGUAUUAACUAAAAAUAAUAAUCAAUAAUUUGAGUACAAGAGCUCGUGUGAGAGAGAGUUCCAUGUCCUUCCCUUAUUGUGUUAUUAGCACAAUGGCUUUCAAGCCUUUCCAGGGAAGUUAAGACCUACAGAGUUCCUAGAAUUACUACCUUAAAGGACUAGGUGCAGGCUUGUUGGAGGAGAUGAGAGCAGUACUAGGGGUGGGGGGGGGAGUCAAAGUCAAUUAAAAACUCCUUGCAAAUAAUAACCGUCACUCUUUUUAUUUUGGCUUUGUUAAGUCUGACUUUUUUCCUGUCAAAGAGUGGGCCUCAUCUACGAGGGAGUCAUUACCUGUAUGUCUCUUAACAAUAAAUUGCUUCUCAUUUAUGAAACUAUGGGGGCAGCAUCACGUUUUUAGCUGAGAAAGCAAAGAUUUACAUUGUUGUUUAAAGUUUCCUUCAUAAACCAUUUCCUAUCUUAUAGUAUAAGACAGAGAAAAACCUUAGAAUGAACACCCAUCUUCUCUGAUGCAACAGGUGUACUCCUGCCCCAGACAAAUUAUUUACUUCCAUCUGAAAAGAACCUUCUUCAGAGUAAAGAGGCAGUGUGAUAACAGCCCUGUGUUUAUGGAAUGAAAUCCCAUAUUUUGAAGAGAUUUAUAUUGAAGUAAAGUAGGGGUGAAAGCACAUGCUAUCUGGGAUUUGCCUUAAAUAAAGCAAAAAAAAAAAAAAGAAUAAAGGGAUAAAACAGCAAAUGUGGUAAAAUAUCUAUGUUCUUUAUUUUUAAUGUGUUACUAAUUUUUUAUAAUCAAAGUUUUAAAUAUAAUGAAAAACACUACAGAAUCAUUUAUUACUUGGAAUACUUUUGGGGAUAACCUCAAUAUGCUUGGGGAUAACAAAAAGACUUGCUAACGCAAAUCUACCUGAAUUCUAUGCUGGUACUUCAAUCAUAACCUUACAUUUCAAAAUUAAAUGAAUAAUUAUUCUUUUCAACCAACUAAUGUGUUAAAGCUUUAAGUGUAUAUUAGUAUCUAUAAUAGUUCCUCUUUUAUGAAUUAAUAUCUCUGAAAAGAUGUUGUAUAGUAAUGAUUUAAAUCUUAUUUUUAAAAUUACUUGAACUAAAUUAAUUAAUCCUACACUGAAAUAUCUCCCUUAUCGAUCCUGCUACUUCACUCCAAUCCUGACUACUCCAAAUGAGAAGGAAAGGUCAUAUUUCUUGCAAAGUGUACAUGUAACAGCUUUCAUUUCGUAUAUGACAGAUGCACAAAGGGUACUUUCAGCGAUUUUUCUUGUUGUUGUCCACAUCAUGGCAUCAACAGCACUUAAAGUUGUUGUGCAGAUGCUGGUGGAUCACUGAUCACAUAAGCAGACACCAGACAGUGAAUCAGGAGGCACCACAGUUUAUGAAAAACCUCCGUUCAGUUGAUGAGAGGCAGCUUGGGACUUAGUGUUUGUAUCCAAAAGUAAAAAGAAUAAACCUUCUCUGUUCCUACAUAAAAAACAACAAAACACAUCAGGAUGGGGGGAGAAGAUUUCACCCACUCGCAUCUGUGCCAAGAACUAAAGGCUUAUCUUGAGGCUGUUUAAGAUGUACCAGCCCUACACUCUCUCUAGUUUAUCUGAAAUCAUGAUUUAAGGUGCCUAGAAAACAUCAGGUCUACUGUAAGUAUUUCAGACCUCCUUUAAAAAAAGUUUUAGUAUUUAUAAACAAAAAUUACCUCUACUCAUGCAAAACUAAAGUCUGGACAUUUAGCCAAAACAUGUAUUACAUGCAGAACUCCCAUUUCACACCAAACUGCCUUCUAAACAAGGGUAAUUUCUACCGAAUACAUUCUUUUAAGUAGGAAGGAUUCCUUUACGUGGAUAUUUAAAGUAUAAUUAUGAUUACAAAACAUCAGUUCACAUUUUAACAUCUAGCAUAUAAAGUGACGUACACCUGUAUUUCAUUAGGACUAUCAACAUCAGUAGCAAACACUCAACUAUUUCAGCUAUGUGACAAAUGCUUUUUUCCUCAUAGAACAUUCCAAAGGGGAAACCACUGGUUAUUUACUAUAAUCGAAAGUCAAACAUAAUUUGUGUCUACUGAAAUAACAGGUUUCACUUGUAAGACUGUAUCUAUAAAUCCUUGGAGUAGAAAAUCUGUUUCUAUAGCUUUCCUUUUCUCUCUUCUAUUGUAGAGGACUCUUCUCCUGUUUUCUAAGUUCAUCAUCACUACCCUACAGCCUCUGCUGUAUAAUUUAAUCAUAGUUUAUAUCUGUCAUUGCCUGGCUAACCUCUAUAGAGUCAUUAUCAGUACUUCCAGAUUUUAUGAAGAAAAAGUAUUCAUUUGCCUCCACGAUUUUUUUUUUUUCAAUACUGACUUGUGCCCUCAUUAAAAGAAAUGAGCCUCAAAGUCCUUCUUGUGGCUACAGACUGCCUGAACGUAAUUCCAGGUGUUCAUCACGAAUUUGUUUGGAGUGAUGUCACCAAGGCGGUGACACAGUCCUUCCUGACUUCGCUCUCCUGCACAAGAACAACCAACAGCUAUUCAGAAACACAACGGCACUGCGAGACUCCUAGAGCACAGUGAGGCUGAGCACCCAUGUACCAGAGACCGGUGCCUGCGACUGGUAUCAGUGAGGCACAGCUCACUUACGACUCUAGUGUAAAAGGGAAAAAAAAAUGAGUACGUUGUCACAGGCACCCUGGGUAAAGAGGAGAAUUUCAGAAUAUUAACAGUGAAAAGUCUGUUGGCUCGGGAUUAAAAAAAGCCCUCCUGAUACUGUGAAGAAAAGACAGAAGAGAGGGAAAGAGAGGGGCCAGAUGUGACAUAGGAGGGAAGGAGGAAAAAAGUUUUAGGGCAGGUGGUCUGUGAAGCUGUCUUCAGGCAGCUCCACAGGGACACCAUAUGAGGAAACGGAAACACAUCAUUUUGCAGAGGCUUUCAUCCGGCAAUCACAUGGAUUUUCUUGGCAGGACGUCGUAAUAUCUAAUAACUGUCACUGAGUUGAAUUUUCUAUACCAUGGAUCAGGAUUAAACUGGCAACGAUUCAUAUUCAAAACCAGCUUUUGGAUUUGAGUAGGAAGAGGAAUUUGGCUAUUUGGAUCAUCAUUCAAACUGCUUUCUAAGGGAGGGAUAACCACACAGCCUAAAAAUUAAAAAACAAACAAACAAACAAAGCUUAAGCAGCCUUAAGCAAUGAAAGAGUCUACACCAGUAUCAGCAGAUACGAAGAGCCAAAAAAUUAUAGACUUUUCCGUAUAGAAGAGUUACAGGUAAAACACUAAUGCUGGGUCCUGCCAGGGCUGGAUGUGUGGGGUAAACCAAGAACUCCUCUCGUGUCUCUGUGGCACCCGAGGAUGGGAAGAAGCUGGCAAUUCCUCAGGUGAGGCCAAGGACUUGAUCAUCUCUGGGUGCAGAGGCGGCGAAGCUGGCCCUACGCGAGGACGCCUGUUCCCACACUCCUGGCACGACUGCACUGCUGCCGCUACAGGGAACAGCGAGGCAUGGCUCCUGCCCUCACGUCUGCUGAGGACAAAACAUGCAACCAACGUGCCAACACGAUGUGGACGAUGUCACACAAAGUGCUCUUGGUAUACAGGAGGUGCUCCAGAGCUGCAGAGUCCAAUCAACUCUGCACAAAGGAAGGGCCAUCUGAGUUGACUUCAAGGAUGAGUCCAAACUGAUCAGACGGACAACGGGCAAAGCAGAAAGAACAGCGUGUGCAAAGGUAGGAAAGCCUUGUGAGCUUAGGAGACCUCACCAGUCCACUACGGCGAGUGUGCAGGCGAGAGGGGUGCAGAGAGAAGCCAGGAAGGUAUGAGGAUGCACUGGACACCAUCCUAAAGCCCAGUCAAUUGAGAGUAAUGAGCAUGAAGCUCACACACAGAACUGGACAGGGGGAUCAGCGGUCAGAGACAUCAACCCUUGGAGGCUGGACAGCAGAUGGGCACACGGUAAGUGACAGAGUAGUCCAGGGCCACCUGAAGCCCAAACCGACAGCUGGGAAUGCAAGGUGGGCUGAUUUAUGUCACCUUCCCUUGGUGGAGAUGAGGGCGGGGGGAGACAGGAGGACUGGCAGAAAGUCUCGCAAGAACGGCUAGCCCUCCGCCUCUCCUCUCUCACCCAGGCAGGUGCACAUCUUCCUCUCUGAAUGGGCUGGACAGGAGGCCCACCCCACACGGCUCAGGGGCCCAGGGGGAAAAACCAAAAGCUGAAUGAUAAACGAGAGGCCACUUCAGUCACCAGUAAGGCCCACGGGCAUCCAGCCUCCAACACUGCCACGGCUGAGGAGAAAACUGUUGAGAGACAGCCUCUGAUGCCAGGGUGGGUUUUCCAAGUAGAAGGAGUCUCCUGACCAGUCCACAGUUAAGCCCUUCGGUCAACAGCACCCCCACCCCCC